Molecule: ribosomal RNA, 115 nt
Filed under: uncultured Phycisphaerae bacterium
Lineage: Bacteria; Pseudomonadati; Planctomycetota; Phycisphaerae
Source: RNAcentral
UUUGCCGGUGGCCAUACCCGCGGGGCCACACCCGUUCCCAUCCCGAACACGGUCGUUAAGCCCGCGGGGCCGAUGAUACUGCGUCCCGCGGGAAAGUAGGUCACCGCCGGCAAUU